CCCGGUAGCUAAAUGCGGAAGAGAUAAGUGCUGAAAGCAUCUAAGCACGAAACUUGCCCCGAGAUGAGUUCUCCCUGACUCCUUGAGAGUCCUGAAGGAACGUUGAAGACGACGACGUUGAUAGGCCGGGUGUGUAAGCGCAGCGAUGCGUUGAGCUAACCGGUACUAAUGAACCGUGAGGCUUAACCUUACAACGCCGAAGGUGUUU
Molecule: ribosomal RNA, 208 nt
Filed under: Escherichia coli
Lineage: Bacteria; Pseudomonadati; Pseudomonadota; Gammaproteobacteria; Enterobacterales; Enterobacteriaceae
Description: partial 23S ribosomal RNA
Rfam family: Bacterial large subunit ribosomal RNA
Source: RNAcentral